Non-coding RNA from Paramuricea clavata, 685 nucleotides. The record is from the annotation of a GenBank genome assembly. Lineage: Eukaryota; Metazoa; Cnidaria; Anthozoa; Malacalcyonacea; Plexauridae.
AAGUUAUAUAAAGCGGUAGCGCAUCAUAAUCAGGCCACAGAAUGGGUUAUACAGAAGCCCGAUUUCUUGGUUUUUCCUAUGAUUUCCCAAUGAUUUUGGCGUUGACCGUAAUUCGUCAUCAAAAUGCUGACGCCAUAUGGUCCUGGCUGGUGCGCUUUUGGGAGGCAUUCGACUCUCUGAUAAUACUCAAAAUGACCGACGUCCAGGGGGAAUGCCUCUUGGGCGCACACUGGCUGGGACCUGGUCUUUGUUCUGUGCCAGGGGGUGACUGCUUCUGUUUACGGUACUUGCCGAGUGACGAAUCAUGACGAAUAGCACUUGCGCAGAAAACAAUGGAGAUGGAUUUCUGUAUAGUACCUUAAACCUCCGACCAUAAGCCCUAGGCUUAUAUACUUUCGUAAGCGAUUUUUGAUGGGUUUAUACAAGGCGGGGGGGUGGCUUAUAUACGGGGGGGGGGCUAAUACAUGGACGAUCUUUUGUGUUAGUGAUAAACAAGUCAGACAUAAACAAGUCAGUCACAAACAAGUCAGUCAUAAACAGGAAAAUAAACAUGUAGUAAUAACACGCUUUGAUUAACAUUGAAAAAGUCGUGCAAAAAAGACUAAUCUCAUUCAUUGAACGUCAUGAAAUCUUAUAUAAAUUUCAGUUUGGUUUCCGUAGUAAGCACUCUACUUCCCAUUCGCUC